CAUGGGGGUCCCCUGACUGAACGACUGUUCCCACCUUCUGUUUACCCUUAUUUCACACGUUCCUGCUUUAUUACCUUGUUAUUUUAUUAGCGUAAGGCAUGAAUAUUGUAACCGGGGCCCAUACAUGCUAAGAGUAAGCUUAGAUAAGUCCCGUUUGUCCAUUUCCCGACUCGACAGAAUGUCAACAUUCCGAUCGCCGCCAUUUGCAUCACUAUGUUUAUUGACGUCAGUGACCUAAUGACCUGAGAUCAGCAUCCAAUCAGCAUAACGUAAUUUGCCCACCAUCUCCAUAGGGGCACGAG
This 302-nucleotide long non-coding RNA is filed under the name Mytilus galloprovincialis (Mediterranean mussel). The record is from RNAcentral. Lineage: Eukaryota; Metazoa; Mollusca; Bivalvia; Mytilida; Mytilidae.